GGGGUGAUCCUGCCCCCUGCACGUCUGGGGAUUAAAGGCUUUGGGGAAAACUGGGGUCCUAAUACCGGAUAUGACCACAGCAUGCAUGUGUUGUGGUGGAAAGAUUUAUCGGUGGCAGGGAUGGGGCCCGCGGCCUAUCAGCUUGUUUGUUGGGGUAAUGGCCUACCAAGGCGACGACGGGUAGCCGACCUGAGAGGGUGACCGGCCACGACUGGGACUGAGACACGGCCCAGACUCCUACGGGAGGCAGCAGUGGGGAAUAUUGCACAAUGGGCGGAAGCCUGAUGCAGCGACGCCGCGUGAGGGACGAAGGCCUUCGGGUUGUAAACCUCUUUCAGCAGGGACGAAGCGUGAGUGACGGUACCUGCGGAAGAAGCACCGGCUAACUACGUGC
This 394-nucleotide ribosomal RNA is filed under the name uncultured Rhodococcus sp. RNAcentral describes it as "bacterial SSU rRNA". It matches the Rfam family "Bacterial small subunit ribosomal RNA", at positions 118 to 508 of the family's 1533-position model. Lineage: Bacteria; Bacillati; Actinomycetota; Actinomycetes; Mycobacteriales; Nocardiaceae. The record is from RNAcentral.